AAAAAGGGUGUUUGCUGCUUUGAUGGCACGUGCGCCAAUAUGGUGUGCGGGGUAUGGUUAUCAAGACAUACCCAACACGUAAUUUUUGUUUUCGUGGGGCAGUUGGGACCGAUAUGUACCGGCGCCUCC
Small nuclear RNA from Danaus plexippus plexippus, 129 nucleotides. It matches the Rfam family "U11 spliceosomal RNA". The record is from Rfam. Lineage: Eukaryota; Metazoa; Arthropoda; Insecta; Lepidoptera; Nymphalidae.